UGCAGUCCAUGCAUAAGUACAAACCCCGUGUGCACGUGGUGGAGGAGGACAGCAGGAUUGACCUGUCCCUGAUUCAGUCCUUUCCUACUGAAGGAGUUAAAACAUUCUCCUUUAAAGAAACUGAAUUCACUACAGUGACAGCUUACCAAAACCAGCAGGUAAAGCUGUCUAGGUCCCUGUAAGUGAGAGUGGCUCCACUGGUAUAUUGGGAUAGAAGAGCAUUUCAUGGGAUACAUUUUAAAUGAUGGAGAAAAUAUCAUGGUUUUAUUUUAUUUUCCAGUCAUAACUGAUAGAAAGAGUUGUGGUUCUUGUGUUAAACAGGAGGAGAUCGGGGCAAAAGGGACUACUGGCAAAGGAGAAAUUGUUUUUAAUUCUGACUUAUCUAUGUGCUCAUGUUUAUUUAAAGUACUCCAUUAUAGUGAUAACACUGUUGUUAAGAACAUAGGCUGCAUUUUUCUCUUUGUCUUUCUUUUGAAUUCAUAGAUUACCAAACUGAAAAUAGACAGGAAUCCUUUUGCCAAAGGAUUUAGAGAUCCUGGGAGAAACCGGGGUGUACUGGAUGGAUUUUUAGAGACCUACCCCUGGAGGCCUUCUUUCACUAUGGAUUUUAAACCUUUUGUCCCAGACACACAAAAUGGAAGUAGUGGUUCAUCUCCAGUGACAUCUAGUGGAGGAGCUCCCUCUCCUUUGAACUCCUUACUUUCUCCAUCUUGUUCUCCACCUACGGUUUACAUACCACCAAGCUCCAUUGGGAUGACCCAUCCAGAGACGUACCUGCACAAUGUCA
This 787-nucleotide long non-coding RNA is filed under the name Rattus norvegicus (Norway rat). RNAcentral's name for it is "long non-coding RNA NONRATT030620". The record is from RNAcentral. Lineage: Eukaryota; Metazoa; Chordata; Mammalia; Rodentia; Muridae.